UACGUAGGUGGCGGGCGUUGUCCGGAUUUACUGGGCGUAAAGAGCGCGCAGGCGGUCGUACAAGUCGCGUGUGAAAGCCCCCGGCUCAACUGGGGAGGGUCACGCGAUACUGUUCGACUCGAAGGCAGGAGAGGGAAGUGGAAUUCCCGGUGUAGUGGUGAAAUGCGUAGAUAUCGGGAGGAACACCAGUGGCGAAGGCGACUUCCUGGCCUGUUCUUGACGCUGAGGCGCGAAAGCUAGGGUAGCAAACGGG
Molecule: ribosomal RNA, 253 nt
Filed under: uncultured bacterium
Lineage: Bacteria
Description: partial 16S ribosomal RNA
Rfam family: Bacterial small subunit ribosomal RNA
Source: RNAcentral